Molecule: long non-coding RNA, 1125 nt
Filed under: Oryctolagus cuniculus (rabbit)
Lineage: Eukaryota; Metazoa; Chordata; Mammalia; Lagomorpha; Leporidae
Description: lncRNA (ENSOCUG00000031324.1)
Source: RNAcentral
AUGGGGGCGAGAGGGGAGAAAAGCGGACGGAGCAACCGCGCCCUCUCUCAUCUGCGCCCACUCAGGGCACGCAGGACAGACGGGCCCGCGUGGCUGGCUCCACACACCAGCCCGGGUCUGGUCUGGGCCACGAGCGCACGACUGGGAACUGGCCCAUCCAGGACACUGGGUCAGAUUCUCCUGGUGGCCCGCCGCACUACAAGGCAGACAACUCCCCAGCUGCCUGGGGGCACGGCACGGGUCCAGAACACGCUCGUGCCAGCGUCAGAGGGCACAUCGAGGACUGGUCCUCAGGCAGCGGCCACGCCUCCUGGACGCUGUCCCGGGAGCUCGGAGACCAGCCAACGCCAAGAGGAAGGCAAGGACGUCUCAGGAGAGGCAGAGGCACAGAGCACCACCCUCGCGGAGCCCAGCGUGCCCGCGCCUAAGUCCGCUGCGCACACUGGGCCACCAGGGGCAGUGGGGCACUCCACGCCGGGUCCCAUGAGGCUUCUGCACUCGCAGCCUCCGUGGCCACGCCAGGCAUGCGGGCUGGGAGUGCUGCACCAGACCCCCGGGGUGGGUCAUGGCGGGAGCAGACGUGGGGGGCGGGGAAGCCUACGCCCCUCCCGCACGGGUCAGCAGACCACCACGCAGAGAAACGGACAACCUGCGGACAGGCCCAGGCAGCGUGCAGCCAACCAGAGCACCCGGGAGGACACACGGCCCCGUCUCGGAGCGCCUGACUCGCACCGCGGCCCCUCUCUCCCCAGGGAGCACAUCCUUCCCGGGCAGAGCCCCGAGGACGUCCCCGCAGCUCCAGAGCACAGGCCAGCGUUUCGGGACAAGGAAUCGCAUGGCGACACCUUCCCGGUCCCGGAGGCAAUAGGAAAGCCCGUUCUCGCUCAAGGAGCCCCGGCAGCCCAGCGGGCUCCCAGGGGCAGAGGACACAAGGCACACGGGCCCCUACCGUGGUCGUGGUCGUGGUCGUGGUCGUGGUCGUGGUCGUGGUCGUGCUCGGGGUCGUGGUCGUGGUCAGCCUCCUCGGUGCUGCACGUCCGGAACAAGUUCCCGGGUGCCGGGCUCGGCGUCUGCGGAAGAAGAAGAGUGAGGGUCUCUGCCGACAACACACCUGCCUCCGCCUAG